RNAcentral lists this ribosomal RNA (253 nucleotides) under uncultured bacterium. RNAcentral describes it as "partial 16S ribosomal RNA". It matches the Rfam family "Bacterial small subunit ribosomal RNA", at positions 524 to 776 of the family's 1533-position model. The record is from RNAcentral.
UACGUAGGUGGCGAGCGUUGUCCGGAUUUACUGGGCGUAAGGGGAGCGUAGGCGGACUUUUAAGUGAGAUGUGAAAUACUCGGGCUCAACUUGAGUGCUGCAUUUCAAACUGGAAGUCUAGAGUGCAGGAGAGGAGAAUGGAAUUCCUAGUGUAGCGGUGAAAUGCGUAGAGAUUAGGAAGAACACCAGUGGCGAAGGCGAUUCUCUGGACUGUAACUGACGCUGAGGCUCGAAAGCGUGGGGAGCAAACAGG